UAACCUACCCAUCAGAGGGGGAUAACACUUGGAAACAGGUGCUAAUACCGCAUAACAGUUUAUGCCGCAUGGCAUAAGAGUGAAAGGCGCUUUCGGGUGUCGCUGAUGGAUGGACCCGCGGUGCAUUAGCUAGUUGGUGAGGUAACGGCUCACCAAGGCCACGAUGCAUAGCCGACCUGAGAGGGUGAUCGGCCACACUGGGACUGAGACACGGCCCAG
This 219-nucleotide ribosomal RNA is filed under the name uncultured bacterium. Its description in RNAcentral is "partial 16S ribosomal RNA". It matches the Rfam family "Bacterial small subunit ribosomal RNA", at positions 122 to 334 of the family's 1533-position model. The record is from RNAcentral. RNAcentral also lists the same sequence under 1 other name.